This 1445-nucleotide ribosomal RNA is filed under the name uncultured organism. Its description in RNAcentral is "16S ribosomal RNA". It matches the Rfam family "Bacterial small subunit ribosomal RNA". The record is from RNAcentral.
GCUCAGGAUGAACGCUAGCGACAGGCUUAACACAUGCAAGUCGAGGGGUAACAGGGUGUAGCAAUACACCGCUGACGACCGGCGCACGGGUGAGUAACGCGUAUGCAACCUGCCUUUGACAGAGGGAUAGCCCAUGGAAACGUGGAUUAAUACCUCAUAGUCUCUUUUUUCUUCCUGGGAAAUAGAGUAAAACGUCAGUGGUCAAAGAUGGGCAUGCGUCCUAUUAGGCAGUUGGCGGGGUAACGGCCCACCAAACCGAUGAUAGGUAGGGGUUCUGAGAGGAAGGUCCCCCACACUGGUACUGAGACACGGACCAGACUCCUACGGGAGGCAGCAGUGAGGAAUAUUGGUCAAUGGUCGAGAGACUGAACCAGCCAAGUCGCGUGAGGGAAGACUGCCCUAUGGGUUGUAAACCUCUUUUCUACUGGGAGAAUAAGCCUUAUGUAUAAGGUGAUGACAGUACAGUAGGAAUAAGCAUCGGCUAACUCCGUGCCAGCAGCCGCAGUAAUACGGAGGAUGCGAGCGUUAUCCGGAUUUAUUGGGUUUAAAGGGUGCGUAGGCGGCUUUAUAAGUUAGUGGUAAAAUUUCGGAGCUUCACUCCGGUCCGCCAUUAAAACUGUAGAGCUAGAGAAUGGACGAGGUAGGCGGAAUAAGUUAAGUAGCGGUGAAAUGCAUAGAUAUAACUUAGAACUCCGAUAGCGAAGGCAGCUUACCAGACCAUAACUGACGCUGAUGCACGAGAGCGUGGGUAGCGAACAGGAUUAGAUACCCUGGUAGUCCACGCCGUAAACGAUGCUCACCGGCCCUUAACGAUAAGACAGUUAGGGGUUAAUUGAAAGAAUUUAAGUGAGCCAUCUGGGGAGUACGUCGGCAACGAUGAAACUCAAAGGAAUUGACGGGGGCCCGCACAAGCGGAGGAACAUGUGGUUUAAUUGGAUGAUACGCGAGGAACCUUACCUGGGUUUAAAUGUAUAUUGCAUAAUCUGGAAACAGUUUUUCUCUUCGGAGCUAUAUACAAGGUGCUGCAUGGUUGUCGUCAGCUCGUGCCGUGAGGUGUCGGGUUAAGUCCCAUAACGAGCGCAACCCUUACCGUUAGUUGCUAGCAUGUAAUGAUGAGCACUCUAGCGGGACUGCCACCGUAAGGUGAGAGGAAGGGGGGGAUGACGUCAAAUCAGCACGGCCCUUACAUCCAGGGCGACACACGUGUUACAAUGGCCAUAACAGCGGGUAGCUACCGGGUGACCGGAUGCAAAUCUCGAAAAUUGGUCUAAGUUCGGAUUGGAGUCUGCAACCCGACUCCAUGAAGUUGGAUUCGCUAGUAAUCGCGCAUCAGCCAUGGCGCGGUGAAUACGUUCCCGGGCCUUGUACACACCGCCCGUCAAGCCAUGGAAGCUGGGAGUACCUGAAGUCCGUAACCGCGAGGAUCGGCCUAGGGUAAUACCGGU